GUUGUAGUCCCUAACUUGAGAUCAACAAAGCUGAGUCCUAUAUUACUGGGUGAAGAUUGAUACAUUAAAAAAAGAAGAGCCAUCUGGAAGGAACUGGAGUUUUUGGUGUGGAAUGAAUAAGGACAGGCACCGGACAAUCUCAAUUAUGUCAACUCUACACAUGCUAAUAUCAAGAAUCGCAUGUACAAUCAUGUACAAUGCUGUUUCCAAUGGAUAGAGAUCAGUUCUGCAAGGGAACGACUGUUACUGUCAGACAACUGUAAGAAUUUCUGAUGCAAUAUUGGAUUGCAUAUUAGAGAUAAAUAUAAAAUGAUUGGAUAUCCUGUGUCUGAAAA
Mastomys coucha (southern multimammate mouse) is the source of this 335-nucleotide long non-coding RNA. RefSeq lists it as uncharacterized. The record is from RefSeq and is a predicted model, not a curated record. Lineage: Eukaryota; Metazoa; Chordata; Mammalia; Rodentia; Muridae. The transcript is spliced from 2 exons.